CCGCCCUUAGCUCAGCUGGAUAGAGCGCGUCCCUCCGGAGGACGAGGCCAGAGGUUCGAAUCCUCUAGGGCGGGCCA
This 77-nucleotide transfer RNA is filed under the name Gammaproteobacteria bacterium. RNAcentral describes it as "tRNA-Arg". It matches the Rfam family "tRNA". From Rfam's summary of the family: Transfer RNA (tRNA) molecules are approximately 80 nucleotides in length. Their secondary structure includes four short double-helical elements and three loops (D, anti-codon, and T loops). The record is from RNAcentral. Lineage: Bacteria; Pseudomonadati; Pseudomonadota; Gammaproteobacteria. RNAcentral also lists the same sequence under 1 other name.